RNAcentral lists this ribosomal RNA (451 nucleotides) under Strombidinopsis acuminata. Its description in RNAcentral is "partial Bacterial large subunit ribosomal RNA". It matches the Rfam family "Bacterial large subunit ribosomal RNA", at positions 671 to 1120 of the family's 2925-position model. The record is from RNAcentral. Lineage: Eukaryota; Ciliophora; Spirotrichea; Choreotrichida; Strombidinopsidae.
GCGAAAGCGAGUCUGAAUAGGGCGUAUAGUUCCAGGGAUUAGACGCGAAGCGGGAUGAGCUAGCCAUGGGCAGGUUGAAGCUUGGGUAACACCAAGUGGAGGACCGAACCAUUGAAGGUUGAAAACUUCUUGGAUGACCUGUGGCUAGGGGUGAAAGACCAAUCAAAUUCCGUAAUAGCUCGUACUCCCCGAAAUAGCUUUAGGGCUAGCGUCAUGUGUUUCUUAUCGGAGGUAGAGAACUGGAAGGACUAGGGGCCCAACCGGGUUACUGAAUCCUAUCAAACUCCGAAUGCCGAUAAGGUCGAGCAUGGCAGUCAGACUGUGGGUGACAAGAUCCAUUGUCGAGAGGGAAAGAACCCAGAUCCUCAGCUAAGGUCCUUAAGUAAGUGCUAAGUGGAAAAGGAUGUGGAAGCGCUUAGACAACCAGGAUGUUGGCUUAGAAGCAGCCAUC